UCGUAACAAGGUUUCCGUAGGUGAACCUGCGGAAGGAUCAUUAUCGAGUUUUGAACGGGUUGUCUGCUGGCUCGCAAGGGCAUGUGCACGCCUGUCUCAUCCACUCUCAACUUCUGUGCACUUUUCAUAGGCCGGCUUGUGGGUGCGUUCGCGCACUUGUAGGUGUCGGGCUUAUGCUUUAUUACAAACGAUUCAGUUUUAGAAUGUCAUACUUUGCUAUAACGCAAUUUAUAUACAACUUUCAGCAACGGAUCUCUUGGCUCUCGCAUCGAUGAAGAACGCAGCGAAAUGCGAUAAGUAAUGUGAAUUGCAGAAUUCAGUGAAUCAUCGAAUCUUUGAACGCACCUUGCGCUCCUUGGUAUUCCGAGGAGCAUGCCUGUUUGAGUCUCAUGGAAUUCUCAACCUUCAGCUUUAUUGAUGAAGGCUUGGACUUGGAGGUCGUGCCGGCUCUCGUAGUCGGCUCCUCUGAAAUGCAUUAGUGCGAACGUUACCAGCCGCUUCAGCGUGAUAAUUAUCUGCGUUGCUGUGGAGGGUAUUCUAGUGUUCACGCUUCUAACCGUCUUCGGACAAAUUUCUGAACUCUGAGCUCAAAUCAGGUAGGACUACCCGCUGAACUUAAGCAUAUCAAUAAGCGGAGGA
This 639-nucleotide unclassified non-coding RNA is filed under the name Bjerkandera adusta. Its description in RNAcentral is "sequence contains 18S rRNA gene, ITS1, 5.8S rRNA gene, ITS2, 28S rRNA gene". The stretch from base 237 to 390 matches the Rfam family "5.8S ribosomal RNA". Lineage: Eukaryota; Fungi; Basidiomycota; Agaricomycetes; Polyporales; Phanerochaetaceae. The record is from RNAcentral.